RNAcentral lists this ribosomal RNA (373 nucleotides) under uncultured bacterium. RNAcentral describes it as "bacterial SSU rRNA". It matches the Rfam family "Bacterial small subunit ribosomal RNA", at positions 525 to 896 of the family's 1533-position model. The record is from RNAcentral.
ACGUAGGUGGCAAGCGUUAUCCGGAUUUAUUGGGCGUAAAGCGAGCGCAGGCGGUUUUCUAGGUCUGAUGUGAAAGCCUUCGGCUUAACCGAAGAAGUGCAUCGGAAACUGGAUGACUUGAGUGCAGAAGAGGGCAGUGGAACUCCAUGUGUAGCGGUGGAAUGCGUAGAUAUAUGGAAGAACACCAGUGGCGAAGGCGGCUGCCUGGUCUGUAACUGACGCUGAGGCUCGAAAGCAUGGGUAGCGAACAGGAUUAGAUACCCUGGUAGUCCAUGCCGUAAACGAUGAGUGCUAGGUGUUGGAGGGUUUCCGCCCUUCAGUGCCGGAGCUAACGCAUUAAGCACUCCGCCUGGGGAGUACGGCCGCAAGGUUA